AUACGGGGCGCAGCAGUCGCGAAAACUUGUCAAUGCGGGAAACCGCGAANCAGGGGAGUCCCAAGUGCUUGCACUUUGUGUAAGCUGUUCGGUUGUCUAAAAAACAGCCGAAGGAAGGGCUGGGUAAGACAGGUGCCAGCCGCCGCGGCAAUACCUGCAGCCCGAGUGGUGAUCGAUUUUAUUGAGCCUAAAGCGUCCGUAGCCGGUCUAGUAAACCCUUGGGUAAAUUGGGCAGCUUAACUGUCCGAAUUCCGAGGGGACUGCUAGACUUGGGANCCGGGGGAGGUCAGAGGUACUCCAGGGGUAGGGGCUAAAUCCGAUAUGGUUUUGUGCCAUUCGGUUAGCAUUCCUGUAAUCCUUGGGGGACCACCAGUGGCGAAGGCGUCUGACUAGAACGGAUCCGACGGUAAGGGACGAAANCCCUGGGGCGCGAACCGGAUUAGAUANCCCGGGUAGUCCAGGGCGUAAACGCUGCAGGCUUGGUGUUGGGGACCCUANCGAGGGUACCCAGUGCCGGAGUGAAGAUGUUAAGCCUGCCGCUUGGGGAGUACGUCCGCAAGGAUGAAACUUAAAGGAAUUGGCGGGAGAGCAC
RNAcentral lists this ribosomal RNA (592 nucleotides) under uncultured archaeon. Its description in RNAcentral is "bacterial SSU rRNA". It matches the Rfam family "Archaeal small subunit ribosomal RNA", at positions 323 to 879 of the family's 1478-position model. The record is from RNAcentral.